UGGGGAAUCUUGGACAAUGGGGGCAACCCUGAUCCAGCGAUGCCGCGUGAGUGAAGAAGGCCUUCGGGUCGUAAAGCUCUUUAGGUUGGGAAGAAGUCCGAGAGAGGAAAUGCUUUUGGAUUGACGGUACCGACAGAAUAAGCACCGGCAAACUCUGUGCCAGCAGCCGCGGUAAUACAGAGGGUGCGAGCGUUAAUCGGAGUUACUGGGCGUAAAGGGCGCGUAGGCGGUAAGAUGAGUGUGAUGUGAAAGCCCUGGGCUUAACCUAGGAAGUGCAUCGCAAACGAUCUUACUGGAGUAGAUGAGAGGGUGGCGGAAUUUCCGGUGUAGCGGUGAAAUGCGUAGAGAUCGGAAGGAACGUCAAUGGCGAAGGCAGCCACCUGGCAUCAUACUGACGCUGAGGCGCGAAAGCGUGGGGAGCAAACAGG
Molecule: ribosomal RNA, 428 nt
Filed under: uncultured bacterium
Lineage: Bacteria
Description: bacterial SSU rRNA
Rfam family: Bacterial small subunit ribosomal RNA
Source: RNAcentral